Molecule: small nucleolar RNA, 150 nt
Filed under: Leptosomus discolor (cuckoo roller)
Lineage: Eukaryota; Metazoa; Chordata; Aves; Leptosomiformes; Leptosomidae
Source: RNAcentral
AAGCACUGCCUUUGAACUUGAAGAAUUGCCUUGAAGACUGAUGUCUUGUAGCUUCCUGGGCUAAGUAACAGUGCUAGAGUGUGAGGAUUUGUUAUAACUGGGGCUCUUUAGCUCUCAACUAAACUGCUUUUUUAAAAACAAGGUGCACUU